CAUCAUGUACUGUUCCAGCUCCAGUCAGCCACCCACAAGGAAGCGUUCUGUUCCUUUUCGACAGAGGGCCUGGCCGGCCACAUGGCCACGCUGUUGAAAAGCUCUAAAAUUUCCAACCAGCACUGGGACCCUUAGCGGGGGAGACUGGAAACAGAUACGUGCCAAGCCUUUAUGAGAACUUCUAUUGAAGUCCUGAGCCAAGAUGCAAAAGGAAGAAAGCUGAAAAUCAGUUGGGUUCUUCUGUCUGAAUAUUAUGGUUUCCAAAGCACUGAACUGGGUUAUGUUCUCUACUUCCCUGGAGACUCAGGAAGGAAGAGUUGAGUCUUCUGGUAUGAUACCAGGGUAUCCCGGUUCAUUGUGUCUGCUGUGCUCACCGAAUGAUGCUCUUCCCCUCCUUUGAUCCUUGCCCACCACCUUUCUUCUCCUUUAUCACUACGGCUGGC
Nyctereutes procyonoides (raccoon dog) is the source of this 443-nucleotide long non-coding RNA. RefSeq lists it as uncharacterized. The transcript has 3 exons. The record is from RefSeq and is a predicted model, not a curated record. Lineage: Eukaryota; Metazoa; Chordata; Mammalia; Carnivora; Canidae.